CCUACGGGUGGCAGCAGUGGGGAAUAUUGCACAAUGGGGGAAACCCUGAUGCAGCGACGCCGCGUGAAGGAAGAAGGACUUCGGGAUGUAAACUUCUAUCAGCAGGGAAGAAAAUGACGGUACCUGACUAAGAAGCCACGGCUAACUACGUGCCAGCAGCCGCGGUAAUACGUAGGGGGCAAGCGUUAUGCGGAUUGACUGGGUGUAAAGGGAGCGUAGGCGGUUCAGCAAGUCAGAAGUGAAAGCCCGGGGCUCAACUACGGGACUGCUUUUGAAACUGUUGAACUAGAUUGCAGGAGAGGUAUGUGGAAUUCCUGGUGUAGCGGUGAAAUGCGUAGAUAUUAGGAGGAACACCGAUGGCGAAGGCGGCUUACUGGACUGUAAAUGACGCUGAGGCUCGAAAGCGUGGGGAGCAAACAGGAUUAGAUACCCUUGUAGUC
Molecule: ribosomal RNA, 440 nt
Filed under: uncultured bacterium
Lineage: Bacteria
Description: partial 16S ribosomal RNA
Rfam family: Bacterial small subunit ribosomal RNA
Source: RNAcentral